ACUGAAGUAUAUAUUAGCAGAUGAAUUCACCACAGGGCAUCCUGUACAAAUUUUCCAAAUUCUGCAGGAUGUACAGAUAUAUAGCUGUCGAGAAUUAAAACAUAUAUUCCCAGCCAACAUUGUUGGAGGCUUAACUCAAUUGAAAGUUGUUGAGAUAGAAGAAUGUGACAAGCUAGAUCAAAUAAUUGGAGAUAUUGUUCCAUCAACAGACCGUGAUAAACUAAUAGAGAAAGGAACUCUAUCCAGCCU
Molecule: small RNA, 249 nt
Filed under: Vigna angularis var. angularis
Lineage: Eukaryota; Viridiplantae; Streptophyta; Magnoliopsida; Fabales; Fabaceae
Description: Non-protein coding transcript
Source: RNAcentral